UGAGUACGAGAUGCUACGGCAUCGAAGCAGUCUAUGUCAUACUUCCAAGAAAAGCUCGCACUGUCAUAAACAAAUUAAUGCCUGUACCAUAACCGACACAGGUGGGUAGGUAGAGUAUACUAAGGGGCGCGAGAUAACUCUCUCUAAGGAACUCGGCAAAAUGACUCCGUAACUUCGGGAGAAGGAGUGCCUUAUUUAUAAGGUUGCAAUAACCAGAUCCAAGCAACUGUUUAUCAAAAACACAGGUCUCCGCUAAGUCGUAAGACGAUGUAUGGGGGCUGACGCCUGCCCAGUGCCAGAAGGUUAAAGAAGUUGGUUAGCAUAAGCGAAGCUGAUAACUGAAGCCCUGGUGAACGGCGGCCGUAACGAUAACGGUCCUAAGGUAGCGAAAUUCCUUGUCGGGUAAGUUCCGACCCGCACGAAAGGCGUAAUGAUUUGGAUACUGUCUCGGAGAGGGACUCGGUGAAAUAGACUUGUCUGUGAAGAUGCGGACUACCUGCACCUGGACAGAAAGACCCUAUGAAGCUUUACUGUAACUUGAAAUUGAAAUUGGACUUUAUUCGCGCAGUAUAGGUGGGAGGCAUUGAAAAUAUUCUUGCGGGAAUAUUGGAGCCAUCAGUGAGAUACCACUCUUGUAAUGUUAGAUUUCUAACUUUGUAUCAUUAUCUGGUCAAAGGACAGUUUCAGGCGGGCAGUUUGACUGGGGCGGUCGCCUCCCAAAUGGUAACGGAGGCGCACAAAGGUUUCCUCUGAACGGGUAGAAAUCGUAUCUAGAGUGUAAAGGCAUAAGGAAGCUUGACUGUGAGACCUACAAGUCGAGCAGGGACGAAAGUCGGUCUUAGUGAUCUGACGGUGCUGAGUGGAAAGGCCGUCACUCAACGGAUAAAAGUUACUCUAGGAUAACAGGCUGAUCUCCCCCAAGAGUUCACAUCGACGGGGAGGUUUGGCACCUCGAUGUCGGCUCAUCGCAUCCUGGGGCGGUAGUACGUCCCAAGGGUUGGGCUGUUCGCCCAUGAAAGCGGUACGCGAGCUGGGUUCAGAACGUCGUGAGACAGUUCGGUCCAUAUCCGGUGUAGGCGUUAGAAUAUUGAGAGGAGCCUUCUUUAGUACGAGAGGACCGAGAAGGACAUACCUCUGGUGUACCAGUUAUCGUGCCAACGGUAAACGCUGGGUAGCUAAGUAUGGAGUGGAUAACCGCUGAAAGCAUCUAAGUGGGAAGCCCACCUCAAGAUAAGUAUUCC
Molecule: ribosomal RNA, 1241 nt
Filed under: metagenome
Description: bacterial LSU rRNA
Rfam family: Bacterial large subunit ribosomal RNA
Source: RNAcentral